GGCUGGUCUGAGUGCAGUGGGGUGUACAAGGAAUUGAUUACAACAGUUACAGCUUUCUUUGCUCCUUUUCCAUUUCCACUGCUGCUUCACUUGACUAGCCUUUA
Molecule: Y RNA, 104 nt
Filed under: Nomascus leucogenys (northern white-cheeked gibbon)
Lineage: Eukaryota; Metazoa; Chordata; Mammalia; Primates; Hylobatidae
Description: Y RNA (ENSNLEG00000026488.1)
Rfam family: Y RNA
About the family: Y RNAs are components of the Ro ribonucleoprotein particle (Ro RNP), in association with Ro60 and La proteins. The Y RNAs and Ro60 and La proteins are well conserved, but the function of the Ro RNP is not known.
Source: Rfam by way of RNAcentral